GAUGAACGCUGGCGGCGUGCCUAAUACAUGCAAGUCGAGCGAACAGACGAGGAGCUUGCUCCUCUGACGUUAGCGGCGGACGGGUGAGUAACACGUGGAUAACCUACCUAUAAGACUGGGAUAACUUCGGGAAACCGGAGCUAAUACCGGAUAAUAUACUGAACCGCAUGGUUCAAUAGUGAAAGACGGUUUUGCUGUCACUUAUAGAUGGAUCCGCGCCGCAUUAGCUAGUUGGUAAGGUAACGGCUUACCAAGGCAACGAUGCGUAGCCGACCUGAGAGGGUGAUAGGCCACACUGGAACUGAGACACGGUCCAGACUCCUAAGGGAGGCAGCAGUAGGGAAUCUUCCGCAAUGGGCGAAAGCCUGACGGAGCAACGCCGCGUGAGUGAUGAAGGUCUUCGGAUCGUAAAACUCUGUUAUUAGGGAAGAACAAAUGUGUAAGUAACUAUGCACGUCUUGACGGUACCUAAUCAGAAAGCCACGGCUAACUACGUG
Molecule: ribosomal RNA, 497 nt
Filed under: uncultured bacterium
Lineage: Bacteria
Description: partial 16S ribosomal RNA
Rfam family: Bacterial small subunit ribosomal RNA
Source: RNAcentral